Rattus norvegicus (Norway rat) is the source of this 103-nucleotide small nuclear RNA. Lineage: Eukaryota; Metazoa; Chordata; Mammalia; Rodentia; Muridae. The record is from Ensembl.
UCUGCUUUGGCAGUGAAUAAUAAAAUUGGGACAAUACAAAGAAGAUUAGCACUGGCCUCUAUGAAAAGAUGAUGUGCAAAUUUGGGAAGCAUUCCAUAUUUUU